UGAAUAUGGGGGGACCAUCCUCCAAGGCUAAAUACUCCUGACUGACCGAUAGUGAACCAGUACCGUGAGGGAAAGGCGAAAAGAACCCCGGCGAGGGGAGUGAAAAAGAACCUGAAACCGUGUACGUACAAGCAGUGGGAGCCUCUUUAUGGGGUGACUGCGUACCUUUUGUAUAAUGGGUCAGCGACUUAUAUUCUGUAGCAAGGUUAACCGAAUAGGGGAGCCGAAGGGAAACCGAGUCUUAACUGGGCGUUAAGUUGCAGGGUAUAGACCCGAAACCCGGUGAUCUAGCCAUGGGCAGGUUGAAGGUUGGGUAACACUAACUGGAGGACCGAACCGACUAAUGUUGAAAAAUUAGCGGAUGACUUGUGGCUGGGGGUGAAAGGCCAAUCAAACCGGGAGAUAGCUGGUUCUCCCCGAAAGCUAUUUAGGUAGCGCCUCGUGAACUCAUCUCGGGGGGUAGAGCACUGUUUCGGCAAGGGGGUCAUCCCGACUUACCAACCCGAUGCAAACUGCGAAUACCGGAGAAUGUUAUCACGGGAGACACACGGCGGGUGCUAACGUCCGUCGUGAAGAGGGAAACAACCCAGACCGCCAGCUAAGGUCCCAAAGUCAUGGUUAAGUGGGAAACGAUGUGGGAAGGCCCAGACAGCCAGGAUGUUGGCUUAGAAGCAGCCAUCAUUUAAAGAAAGCGUAAUAGCUCACUGGUCGAGUCGGCCUGCGCGGAAGAUGUAACGGGGCUAAACCAUGCACCGAAGCUGCGGCAGCGACACUAUGUGUUGUUGGGUAGGGGAGCGUUCUGUAAGCCUGUGAAGGUGUACUGUGAGGUAUGCUGGAGGUAUCAGAAGUGCGAAUGCUGACAUAAGUAACGAUAAAGCGGGUGAAAAGCCCGCUCGCCGGAAGACCAAGGGUUCCUGUCCAACGUUAAUCGGGGCAGGGUGAGUCGACCCCUAAGGCGAGGCCGAAAGGCGUAGUCGAUGGGAAACAGGUUAAUAUUCCUGUACUUGGUGUUACUGCGAAGGGGGGACGGAGAAGGCUAUGUUGGCCGGGCGACGGUUGUCCCGGUUUAAGCGUGUAGGCUGGUUUUCCAGGCAAAUCCGGAAAAUCAAGGCUGAGGUGUGAUGACGAGGCACUACGGUGCUGAAGCAACAAAUGCCCUGCUUCCAGGAAAAGCCUCUAAGCAUCAGGUAACAUCAAAUCGUACCCCAAACCGACACAGGUGGUCAGGUAGAGAAUACCAAGGCGCUUGAGAGAACUCGGGUGAAGGAACUAGGCAAAAUGGUGCCGUAACUUCGGGAGAAGGCACGCUGAUAUGUAGGUGAAGUCCCUCGCGGAUGGAGCUGAAAUCAGUCGAAGAUACCAGCUGGCUGCAACUGUUUAUUAAAAACACAGCACUGUGCAAACACGAAAGUGGACGUAUACGGUGUGACGCCUGCCCGGUGCCGGAAGGUUAAUUGAUGGGGUUAGCGCAAGCGAAGCUCUUGAUCGAAGCCCCGGUAAACGGCGGCCGUAACUAUAACGGUCCUAAGGUAGCGAAAUUCCUUGUCGGGUAAGUUCCGACCUGCACGAAUGGCGUAAUGAUGGCCAGGCUGUCUCCACCCGAGACUCAGUGAAAUUGAACUCGCUGUGAAGAUGCAGUGUACCCGCGGCAAGACGGAAAGACCCCGUGAACCUUUACUAUAGCUUGACACUGAACAUUGAGCCUUGAUGUGUAGGAUAGGUGGGAGGCUUAGAAGUGUGGACGCCAGUCUGCAUGGAGCCGACCUUGAAAUACCACCCUUUAAUGUUUGAUGUUCUAACGUUGACCCGUAAUCCGGGUUGCGGACAGUGUCUGGUGGGUAGUUUGACUGGGGCGGUCUCCUCCUAAAGAGUAACGGAGGAGCACGAAGGUUGGCUAAUCCUGGUCGGACAUCAGGAGGUUAGUGCAAUGGCAUAAGCCAGCUUGACUGCGAGCGUGACGGCGCGAGCAGGUGCGAAAGCAGGUCAUAGUGAUCCGGUGGUUCUGAAUGGAAGGGCCAUCGCUCAACGGAUAAAAGGUACUCCGGGGAUAACAGGCUGAUACCGCCCAAGAGUUCAUAUCGACGGCGGUGUUUGGCACCUCGAUGUCGGCUCAUCACAUCCUGGGGCUGAAGUAGGUCCCAAGGGUAUGGCUGUUCGCCAUUUAAAGUGGUACGCGAGCUGGGUUUAGAACGUCGUGAGACAGUUCGGUCCCUAUCUGCCGUGGGCGCUGGAGAACUGAGGGGGGCUGCUCCUAGUACGAGAGGACCGGAGUGGACGCAUCACUGGUGUUCGGGUUGUCAUGCCAAUGGCACUGCCCGGUAGCUAAAUGCGGAAGAGAUAAGUGCUGAAAGCAUCUAAGCACGAAACUUGCCCCGAGAUGAGUUCUCCCUGACUCCUUGAGAGUCCUGAAGGAACGUUGAAGACGACGACGUUGAUAGGCCGGGUGUGUAAGCGCAGCGAUGCGUUGAGCUAACCGGUACUAAUGAACCGUGAGGCUUAACCUUACAACGCCGAAG
RNAcentral lists this ribosomal RNA (2516 nucleotides) under Shigella dysenteriae. Its description in RNAcentral is "partial 23S ribosomal RNA". It matches the Rfam family "Bacterial large subunit ribosomal RNA", at positions 439 to 2925 of the family's 2925-position model. Lineage: Bacteria; Pseudomonadati; Pseudomonadota; Gammaproteobacteria; Enterobacterales; Enterobacteriaceae. The record is from RNAcentral.